CUUGGGAAAAGGAGCUGAUCAGAAAUCCCUGCUACCCAAGAUCUCAUUCAUGUUAUCCCAGUAGGUCUAUCCCCUUUUUCUCUCGUUUCCUUUCACUCCUCAGAACUCUAAGUAAAUGCAAGAGCAGUAAUUGACUGUGUAAAUCACUUCAUUUGUUUGUGAAGCUAAAAAUCUACCUCCUCCACCCCCACCUAACACAGUGGGAAUAGUAACUUCCAGUUCUCUCCCAACUCUAGGACAUGUCCAACCUGUAAAACCCACCUGUUCUGUCACCCUCAGCUUCUGGUGUCUACUUUCUAGACUGAAGGCAAUACUGGAAAGGUCGGAUUCAAGGGCUUUCAGAUUGACCACCCAUGAAUAUGGGGCUGCGACCCCUAAGGAGGACCUCAGGUGUCUUUUCCCAAGCGAACGUUCUGGAUCUGCCCUUUCUGCGGCUCACCUCCCCAGCCGGUCUUUUGGCUUCAUCUUUGAUUGCUGGCUCUUGUGCUAUUGGAUCAGUGGGGACAUCUAUCUUCUGUCUUCAAACAUCAGAGUUUCUGGUUCCUGGGCCUUUGGACUUGGACUAGAACUUUACUACCAGCUGUCCUGGUUCCCUAGCUUGUGGACAGCAGAGCGUAGAACUUCUUAGCCUCCAUAAUCACAUGUAGAAGUAGCUAAAUCCCAAACCACUGUUUGUUCAUCAAAAGACAAAUACUAUCAUCUCUACCUCCAACACAAAGAAAGUGUCAAUCCAUGGACUGGCUCCUCUCAGGAUAAUUUGGUGUCUCAAGUGUGAAGUCUUUUCACUGGAGCUUGAGAUGAAGGAGAAGAGGGAAUUCUAACAGUAUCCCAUCAUGCACCUGCCCUGACCAUCUCCCACCUAUUCUGGACCUACUCUUGACUAACAGUCACACGGUGUAGGGAAUCGAGUACAGAAAGCAGAGGAUGUGCUGGUUCUCUUUCCUGAGCCAGUAACUAACCACCUGACAGGAGGCAAGUCAUUUCUGCCAAAAAUUAUAAUAGCCAUCAUCUACUGAAAUUCUUAUGUGCCCCCUACUCUGAAAAUCCUUGAGAUAAAGAUGGAUUUACUUAUGCCCCUCCUUUAGUGACUACCAAAGUGCAGAUAGUUGGCGCUCAAAAUACAUUCAUUGAAUGUACAAUUGGGAUCAUUCUUUUUUCCUCUUUUUUUUUUGCCUGCUUCAUCUUUCCUUCAUAUAAAAUUGGGAUAAUUCUGCCUUGCCCAUGUUGUAGGGUUUUUAUAAAGAUUAAAUGAGUGCAUUUCUAUAAAAAGUCUUUGAGGUUGUAAAAUAUGCAAAUGUAAGGAAUCCACCUGUUUUGGGUCUAGGAAAAAAGUAGAAAAAAGAAGAAAUGAGAAAGAUAAAAGAGAGCUGGGAGUGAGGCAGGCAGCUAUAUUUGAAUGCAAUCUGAAGCCACUCGGAGGUGAAGGAAAGAGAUUUAAAUCGCUGCAAGAAUUUGAAGGCCACCUCCCACACAGCCUAUCAGUCUUUCAGUGACUGUUCUUCAAGACCUACUCAAAGACAGUCUGUCCUAUGAGCAGCUUUAGGGUACUGGGGAAAAGAAUUAUGACUGUCACAUCGUAUGAUGAAAUACCAAGUAGCAUUUCAAAGGUCAUGCUCCAGAAAGUCUGUUAAUGAGAUGGGGAAAAUGCUUAAGCAUAAAUUACAUAAUUUAAAAAAUAAAGCAGUUGAGAUCUUAAUUUUGUGAAAAAAAAGAAAAAUAUAUAUAUGUAUAAUAAAAAAGCGAUAAGAAAAGACUGAGAAGAGAUGUAUCAAUGUUACCAGUAAUAUACUAUGUCAUUUUAAUUGUCUUUUUAAUAUAUAUGCAUAGUUUAUAUACUCUUCAAUGAAUAAGUGAAUAAUUGAAAAUAUAACUGUGUGUGUGUUUGUGUAAACAUAUUCUAUUCUUCACUGUUCUAUCCAGGAACUGAUUUAGAUCUGAAUCAAUUGUUCCAAGAACCAAAAUCACCAGGAACUGAAUCACAUUCAAUCACCUUGAACCAAGUCCCAAUUUGAAAAAAUGAGACCUAUAAUUCAGCUUUUCGGUUUUGUCAGCUAUAAGGCUAGAUUGGGCUCUUUCCCCUUCAGCCCUGGAGGUUAGAUACCUGUCCCACGAUUGCUCUUCUUCUAAUAGCUGUGUGCUUUCAGACAUGUCACUGCCCCUCUCUGGGCCUCCCUCCUGUGCUGUAAAAUGAUGGGGCUGCAAUCAGGGCCACCUGGGCAGUUGUUAUGCCACUCAUGACUUUCUCCUGGCUCUUUUCCUCUGUGUUUGGUUUUUUCCAUUUUACUGACCCUUACAAUUCUUCCCAAGGAAAAGAAGUGAAACGCAAAUGAGUUUUUUGAGUUUUUGUUGACACUUCUAACUGCAGGUUGGAAGGCUCCAGGGUCUUUGGCCCUGGUGGGGUAGGUUCUGCUCGCUGGGGAAUCAGGCCUGAGCUGGCUCUGAUCCCUCUCCCUUCUCCUAAUCACUGUCCUGGCUGCAGAACUCUAGGCUGGCACCAGAACAGCAGCCAACAUUUGGCUGACACAGGACAUAAUUUUUAAUCAUGGGAAGGCAGACAUAAGUACAACAGGCCUCUUUUUUUCAUGCAGGUUCAAGUAUCUGCUUUGGGGUUAGGUCUGUCUGUAUUUGGCAGGGCGGGUCCUGGGGAAGUUCUGGUAUUCGUGACCGAAAGGCCAGUCUCCUUCCUUUUUCAGGAAUGGAAGCAGCACAAAUUGUUCUGAUCAGGGAGCAAUAACACGCCACGACCCCCAGGGCUCCCAGGCAGGCGGAGGGGGCACCCAGUCUCAGCAGCCCACGACCUGCUCGCCCCCACGAGCCGCAUGCCUCACAUUUCCCCAGCUCCAGCCUCCUUUCAAAGGCCCUUUAUUAAACCACCAACUAUUUGCUGUCGAGACAUUUAGGAUGAAAUCAUUGUGUUAAACAAAUAAACGCAGCUUCGUCCAGAUUUCUGCUCUGGGAGCAGAGUAAGAAAAUAAUUUCUGUCUGCUCACCACAAAAGCGGCUGGAAAGGUCCAAAGAAAAAUAUUAUUUUUACUCCAUUGUGUGAAAUAUUGUCCUGGAGGAUCUGACCGGCUGAGCGUUUGAAGAGUUUGUGCUGGCAGGUUUCAAGGGUCCCCUGGGUCGGCCCCCUGGGAUUGUUUUCUGCAUUAAUAAACUUAGCAUGAUGUGUGUUAAAAGGAACAUUCUGUUUGCUUUGUAAAUAAGGGAUGUCAAACAAGAAGCAGAAGCCCUACAGACACUAGGUGAUGUGUUCUCGGAGCGGGG
Callithrix jacchus (white-tufted-ear marmoset) is the source of this 3264-nucleotide long non-coding RNA. Lineage: Eukaryota; Metazoa; Chordata; Mammalia; Primates; Cebidae. The record is from Ensembl.